GAGGGACUAAAGGAGGAAAUGGGGGAAAGUUAAGAAAUUAAAAAGAAAAUCAACACACACCACACACACUUCAGUGUGUGUGGGUGUCGCCUGGAACAAAGAAGCAAGAGCCAAAAACCCUCAACAUCAUAAAUUCAGUAAAUUGAAAGGGAAUCCAGGGCCUAAAUCAUUGCAUGUGCACAUAGAAACAUUCAACUAAGUUAGUCUAUCGAAUGGAGUAAAAGAAGAAGACACAAGCCAUUCCGGAUCACAAU
Helianthus annuus (common sunflower) is the source of this 254-nucleotide long non-coding RNA. RefSeq lists it as uncharacterized. The transcript has 2 exons. The record is from RefSeq and is a predicted model, not a curated record. Lineage: Eukaryota; Viridiplantae; Streptophyta; Magnoliopsida; Asterales; Asteraceae.